Molecule: transfer-messenger RNA, 66 nt
Filed under: Clostridium sp.
Lineage: Bacteria; Bacillati; Bacillota; Clostridia; Eubacteriales; Clostridiaceae
Description: partial transfer-messenger RNA
Rfam family: transfer-messenger RNA
About the family: Bacterial tmRNA, also known as 10Sa RNA or SsrA, is named for its dual tRNA and mRNA-like properties. Its role is to liberate the mRNA from a stalled ribosome.
Source: RNAcentral
CUAUGGUUGUAGACGAAUAUGUUGGCAGGUGUUUGGACGUGGGUUCGACUCCCACCGGCUCCAUAA